This 696-nucleotide ribosomal RNA is filed under the name uncultured bacterium. RNAcentral describes it as "bacterial SSU rRNA". It matches the Rfam family "Bacterial small subunit ribosomal RNA", at positions 88 to 783 of the family's 1533-position model. The record is from RNAcentral.
AUGACGAGUGGCGAACGGGUGCGUAACGCGUAUACAACCUACCUCUUAUUAAGGAAUAGCUCAGAGAAAUUUGAAUUAAUACCUUAUAAUAUCUUAAAGCCGCAUGGUUUAAAGAUUAAAGAAUUUCGAUAAGAGAUGGGUAUGCGUGAUAUUAGCUAGUUGGUAAGGUAACGGCUUACCAAGGCAACGAUAUCUAGGGGGUCUGAGAGGAUGAUCCCCCACACUGGUACUGAGACACGGACCAGACUCCUACGGGAGGCAGCAGUGAGGAAUAUUGGACAAUGGGCGAAAGCCUGAUCCAGCCAUGCCGCGUGAAGGAUGAAUGCCCUAUGGGUUGUAAACUUCUUUUAUAUAGGAAGAAACCUUUGGAUUUAUCCAGAGCUGACAUUACUAUACGAAUAAGCAUCGGCUAACUCCGUGCCAGCAGCCGCGGUAAUACGGAGGAUGCAAGCGUUAUCCGGAUUUAUUGGGUUUAAAGGGUCCGUAGGCGGAAUUUUAAGUCAGUGGUGAAAGCCUGCAGCUCAACUGUAGAACUGCCAUUGAUACUGAAAUUCUUGAAUAUAUAUGAAGUGGGCGGAAUGCGUCAUGUAGCGGUGAAAUGCACAGAUAUGACGCAGAACACCAAUUGCGAAGGCAGCUCACUAAUGUAUUAUUGACGCUGAGGGACGAAAGCAUGGGGAGCGAACAGGAUUAGAU